UGAGGCCUAUGAUGAUCUAAAUAUUUGCUUACAUUGCCCGAUUAUAUCCAUGACGGAGGAAUCUGAACUUUUCUGAGGCCACA
Molecule: small nucleolar RNA, 83 nt
Organism: Camellia sinensis
Lineage: Eukaryota; Viridiplantae; Streptophyta; Magnoliopsida; Ericales; Theaceae
Product: small nucleolar RNA SNORD34
Source: RefSeq, a predicted model, not a curated record